GACGAACGCUGGCGGCGUGCUUAACACAUGCAAGUCGAGCGAUGAAACACCUUCGGGUGCGGAUUAGCGGCGAACGGGUGAGGAACACGUGAGGAAUCUGCCUUCCACUCUGGGAUAACUCCGGGAAACCGGGGCGAAUACCGGAUACUUUCAACUGGCGGCAUCGCCGGUUGAAGAAAGUUUUUCGGUGGAAGAUGACCUCGCGGCCUAUCAGCUUGUUGGCGAGGUAAAGGCUCACCAAGGCGACGACGGGUAGCCGGCCUGCGAGGGCGACCGGCCACACUGGGACUGAGACACGGCCCAGACUCCUACGGGAGGCAGCAGUGGGGAAUAUUGGGCAAUGGAGGAAGCUCUGACCCAGCGACGCCGCGUGAGGGAUGAAGGCCUUCGGGUUGUAAACCUCUUUCAGCAGGGAAUAAGCGAAAGUGAAGGUACCUGCAGAAGAAGCACCGGCUAACUACGUGCCAGCCGCCGCGGUAA
Molecule: ribosomal RNA, 480 nt
Filed under: uncultured bacterium
Lineage: Bacteria
Description: partial 16S ribosomal RNA
Rfam family: Bacterial small subunit ribosomal RNA
Source: RNAcentral